Portunus trituberculatus (swimming crab) is the source of this 214-nucleotide long non-coding RNA. RefSeq lists it as uncharacterized. The record is from RefSeq and is a predicted model, not a curated record. The transcript has 2 exons. NCBI's taxonomy places the organism in Eukaryota, Metazoa, Arthropoda, Malacostraca, Decapoda, Portunidae.
GAGAGAGAGAGAGAGAGAGAGAGAGAGAGAGAGAGAGAGAGAGAGAGAGAGAGAGAGAGAGAGAGAGAGAGAGAGAGAAGCAUACUCUAAGAAGAUAGACAUUAAUACAUAUCCAACCUUUCCCUCCCCAUAGAAAUUCCAACAACUGCUGUUACUACUACUACUGCUACUACUACUACUACUACUACUACUACUACUACUACUACUACUACUA